RNAcentral lists this transfer RNA (103 nucleotides) under Thielaviopsis punctulata. RNAcentral describes it as "Ceratocystis radicicola tRNA". It matches the Rfam family "tRNA". Rfam says of the family: Transfer RNA (tRNA) molecules are approximately 80 nucleotides in length. Their secondary structure includes four short double-helical elements and three loops (D, anti-codon, and T loops). Further hydrogen bonds mediate the characteristic L-shaped molecular structure. tRNAs have two regions of fundamental functional importance: the anti-codon, which is responsible for specific mRNA codon recognition, and the 3' end, to which the tRNAs corresponding amino acid is attached (by aminoacyl-tRNA synthetases). tRNAs cope with the degeneracy of the genetic code in two manners: having more than one tRNA (with a specific anti-codon) for a particular amino acid; and 'wobble' base-pairing, i.e. permitting non-standard base-pairing at the 3rd anti-codon position. Lineage: Eukaryota; Fungi; Ascomycota; Sordariomycetes; Microascales; Ceratocystidaceae. The record is from Rfam by way of RNAcentral.
GGCACUGUGGCCGAGUGGUUAAGGCGCUGCCCUGCUACUGUUCACUCAAGUAGCAGCUAAGGCAGUUCGUUCGCGAGCGCGUGUUCGAAUCACGUCGGUGUCG